RNAcentral lists this long non-coding RNA (255 nucleotides) under Marmota monax (woodchuck). The record is from RNAcentral. Lineage: Eukaryota; Metazoa; Chordata; Mammalia; Rodentia; Sciuridae.
GAGGCAGUCUGAGGGUCUUCUCACAGAUUGGGCAGCUAUUCAUGGUGCAUCAUUUUUGCACUUACAAGAAUCUCCAGACUAGGGAAGAUAAAGAGAAUGCAGCCUGACACAAACAUGGCUGGGAAGAAUUGGUGCAUUUCACAGUCCCACUCGUUCAGGAAAUGGAAUCCAGAAUCAUGAUCCCACUGAAGACCUCACCCCUAUAGUACACCCAGAGAAUUCCUAUGUGCCUACGUGAAUCAUGUGACAAGCUGC